CCGGUGGCUCAGUUGGUUAGAGCGCCGCCCUGUCACGGCGGAGGCCGAGGGUUCGAGUCCCUUCCG
This 66-nucleotide transfer RNA is filed under the name chicken gut metagenome. It matches the Rfam family "tRNA", at positions 5 to 66 of the family's 71-position model. Rfam says of the family: Transfer RNA (tRNA) molecules are approximately 80 nucleotides in length. Their secondary structure includes four short double-helical elements and three loops (D, anti-codon, and T loops). The record is from RNAcentral.